This 460-nucleotide ribosomal RNA is filed under the name uncultured bacterium. Its description in RNAcentral is "partial 16S ribosomal RNA". It matches the Rfam family "Bacterial small subunit ribosomal RNA", at positions 338 to 795 of the family's 1533-position model. The record is from RNAcentral.
CCUACGUGUGUCAGCAGUGAGGAAUAUUGGUCAAUGGGCGCGAGCCUGAACCAGCCAAGUAGCGUGAAGGAUGACUGCCCUACGGUUUGUAAACUUCUUUUAUAAAGGAAUACAGUGCGGCACGUGUGCCUUUUUGUAUGUACUUUAUGAUUAAGGAUCGUCUAACUCCGUGCCAGCAGCGGCGGUAAUACGGAGGAUCCGAGCGUUAUCCGGAUUUAUUGGGUUGAACGGGAGUGUAGAUGGGUUGUUAAGUCAGUUGGGAAAGUUUGGGGCACAACCGUAAAAUGGCAAGUGAUACUGGCAGUCUUGAGUACAGUAGAGGUAGGCGGAAUUCGUGGUGUAGCGGUGAAAUGCUUAGAUAUCACGAAGAACUCCGAUUGCGAAGGCAGCUUACUAAACUGCCACUGACAUUGAUGCUCGAAAGUGUGGGUAGCAAACAGGAUUAGAUACCCGGGUAGUC